UGCCUUGCCUUCCUGAAGUGCUUGU
RNAcentral lists this non-coding RNA (25 nucleotides) under Mus musculus (house mouse). The record is from RNAcentral. Lineage: Eukaryota; Metazoa; Chordata; Mammalia; Rodentia; Muridae.